UUGGCCACCUGGCUCUGAGAACUGAAUUCCAUAGGCUGUGAGCUCUAGCAAAUGCCCUAGGGACUCAGUUCUGGUGCCCGGUUGUGCUAU
This is a non-coding RNA of Cricetulus griseus (Chinese hamster), 90 nucleotides long. The record is from Rfam. Lineage: Eukaryota; Metazoa; Chordata; Mammalia; Rodentia; Cricetidae.